GCGGGCGAGGUUGCUUCGGUAACUGAGCUAGCGGCGGACGGGUGAGUAAUGCUUAGGAAUCUGCCUAUUAGUGGGGGACAACAUUCCGAAAGGAAUGCUAAUACCGCAUACGCCCUACGGGGGAAAGCAGGGGAUCUUCGGACCUUGCGCUAAUAGAUGAGCCUAAGUCAGAUUAGCUAGUUGGUGGGGUAAAGGCCUACCAAGGCGACGAUCUGUAGCGGGUCUGAGAGGAUGAUCCGCCACACUGGGACUGAGACACGGCCCAGACUCCUACGGGAGGCAGCUGUGGGGAAUAUUGGACAAUGGGCGCAAGCCUGAUCCAGCCAUGCCGCGUGUGUGAAGAAGGCCUUUUGGUUGUAAAGCACUUUAAGCGAGGAGGAGGCUACUUGGAUUAAUACUCUAGGAUAGUGGACGUUACUCGCAGAAUAAGCACCGGCUAACUCUGUGCCAGCAGCCGCGGUAAUACAGAGGGUGCGGGCGUUAAUCGGAUUUACUGGGCGUAAAGCGUGCGUAGGCGGCUUCUUAAGUCGGAUGUGAAAUCCCUGAGCUUAACUUAGGAAUUGCAUUCGAUACUGGGAAGCUAGAGUAUGGGAGAGGAUGGUAGAAUUCCAGGUGUAGCGGUGAAAUGCGUAGAGAUCUGGAGGAAUACCGAUGGCGAAGGCAGCCAUCUGGCCUAAUACUGACGCUGAGGUACGAAAGCAUGGGGAGCAAACAGGAUUAGAU
Molecule: ribosomal RNA, 723 nt
Filed under: uncultured bacterium
Lineage: Bacteria
Description: bacterial SSU rRNA
Rfam family: Bacterial small subunit ribosomal RNA
Source: RNAcentral